Molecule: ribosomal RNA, 228 nt
Filed under: uncultured bacterium
Lineage: Bacteria
Description: partial 16S ribosomal RNA
Rfam family: Bacterial small subunit ribosomal RNA
Source: RNAcentral
ACUCCUACGGGAGGCAGCAGUGGGAAUCUUGGACAAUGGGGCACCCGUAGCUCCAGCCAUGCCGCGUGAGUGAUGAAGGCCUUAGGGUCGUAAAGCUCUUUCGCCUGUGAUGAUAAUGACAGUAGCAGGUAAAGAAACCCGCCGUACACUCCGUGCCAGCAGCCGCGGUAAUACGGAGGGGGUUAGCGUUGUUCGGAAUUACUGGGCGUAAAGCGCGCGUAGGCGGAC